CAGACUCCUACGGGAGGCAGCAGUAGGGAAUUUUGCGCAAUGGACGAAAGUCUGACGCAGCGACGCCGCGUGAGGGAUGACGGCCUUCGGGUUGUAACCUCUGUUGAGUGGGACGAAAACUCGUAGGGUUAAUACCCCUGCGACCUGACGGUACCACUCGAGGAAGCUCCGGCUAACUACGUGCCAGCAGCCGCGGUAAUACGUAGGGAGCAAGCGUUGUUCGGAAUCACUGGGCGUAAAGGGAGUGUAGGCGGAAAAGUAAAGUUAGGAGUGAAAUACACAGGCUUAACCUGUGGCCCGCUCUUAAUACUGCUUUUCUUGAGUAUGGGAGAGGAAGAUGGAAUUCCAGGUGUAGCGGUGGAAUGCGUAGAAAUCUGGAAGAACACCAGUAGCGAAGGCGGUCUUCUGGCCCAAGACNGACGCUGAGGCUCGAAAGCAAGGGGAGCAAACAGGAUNAGAUACCCUGGUAGUCCUAGCCGUAAACGAUGGACACUAGUUGUCGGGGGAGUCAAUCCCUUCGGUGACGAAGCUAACGCAUUAAGUGUCCCGCCUGGGGAGUACGCUCGCAAGGGUGAAACUCAAAGGAAUUGACGGGGGCCCGCACAAGCGGUGGAGCAUGUGCUUUAAUUCGAUGCAACGCGAAGAACCUUACCUGGGUUUGACAUGGGGGUGAAAGUAACCAGAGAUGGAUACCUUUCCUUCGGGAACACCCUACACAGGUGCUGCAUGGUCGUCGUCAGCUCGUGUCGUGAGAUGUUGGGUUAAGUCCCGCAACGAGCGCAACCCCUACCCUUAGUUGCCAGCGGGUUAUGCCGGGAACUCUAGGGGGACUGCCUGGACUAACCAGGAGGAAGGUGGGGAUGACGUCAAAUCCUCAUGGCCCUUACGCCCAGGGCUAGACACGUGCUACAAUGGCCGGUACAAUAGGCUGCGAACUCGCGAGAGUAAGCUAAUCCGAUAAAACCGGCCUCAGUUCGGAUUGGAGUCUGCAACUCGACUCCAUGAAGGUGGAAUCGCUAGUAAUCGCGGAUCAGCAUGCCGCGGUGAAUACGUUCCCGGGCCUUGUACACACCGCCCGUCAAGCCAUGAAAGACGGUAGUGCCCGAAGUCGUUCCCCUAACCCUCGGGAAGGGUGCGCCGAA
Molecule: ribosomal RNA, 1142 nt
Filed under: uncultured organism
Description: bacterial SSU rRNA
Rfam family: Bacterial small subunit ribosomal RNA
Source: RNAcentral